AGAGUUUGAUCCUGGCUCAGGAUGAACGCUGGCGGCGUGCCUAAUACAUGCAAGUCGAGCGAACGGACGAGAAGCUUGCUUCUCUGAUGUUAGCGGCGGACGGGUGAGUAACACGUGGAUAACCUACCUAUAAGACUGGGAUAACUUCGGGAAACCGGAGCUAAUACCGGAUGAUAUUUUGAACCGCAUGGUUCAAAAGUGAAAGACGGUCUUGCUGUCACUUAUAGAUGGAUCCGCGCUGCAUUAGCUAGUUGGUAAGGUAACGGCUUACCAAGGCAACGAUGCAUAGCCGACCUGAGAGGGUGAUCGGCCACACUGGAACUGAGACACGGUCCAGACUCCUACGGGAGGCAGCAGUAGGGAAUCUUCCGCAAUGGGCGAAAGCCUGACGGAGCAACGCCGCGUGAGUGAUGAAGGUCUUCGGAUCGUAAAACUCUGUUAUUAGGGAAGAACAUAUGUGUAAGUAACUGUGCACAUCUUGACGGUACCUAAUCAGAAAGCCACGGCUAACUACGUGCCAGCAGCCGCGGUAAUACGUAGGUGGCAAGCGUUAUCCGGAAUUAUUGGGCGUAAAGCGCGCGUAGGCGGUUUUUUAAGUCUGAUGUGAAAGCCCACGGCUCAACCGUGGAGGGUCAUUGGAAACUGGAAAACUUGAGUGCAGAAGAGGAAAGUGGAAUUCCAUGUGUAGCGGUGAAAUGCGCAGAGAUAUGGAGGAACACCAGUGGCGAAGGCGACUUUCUGGUCUGUAACUGACGCUGAUGUGCGAAAGCGUGGGGAUCAAACAGGAUUAGAUACCCUGGUAGUCCACGCCGUAAACGAUGAGUGCUAAGUGUUAGGGGGUUUCCGCCCCUUAGUGCUGCAGCUAACGCAUUAAGCACUCCGCCUGGGGAGUACGACCGCAAGGUUGAAACUCAAAGGAAUUGACGGGGACCCGCACAAGCGGUGGAGCAUGUGGUUUAAUUCGAAGCAACGCGAAGAACCUUACCAAAUCUUGACAUCCUUUGACAACUCUAGAGAUAGAGCCUUCCCCUUCGGGGGACAAAGUGACAGGUGGUGCAUGGUUGUCGUCAGCUCGUGUCGUGAGAUGUUGGGUUAAGUCCCGCAACGAGCGCAACCCUUAAGCUUAGUUGCUAUCAUUAAGUUGGGCACUCUAAGUUGACUGCCGGUGACAAACCGGAGGAAGGUGGGGAUGACGUCAAAUCAUCAUGCCCCUUAUGAUUUGGGCUACACACGUGCUACAAUGGACAAUACAAAGGGCAGCGAAACCGCGAGGUCAAGCAAAUCCCAUAAAGUUGUUCUCAGUUCGGAUUGUAGUCUGCAACUCGACUACAUGAAGCUGGAAUCGCUAGUAAUCGUAGAUCAGCAUGCUACGGUGAAUACGUUCCCGGGUCUUGUACACACCGCCCGUCACACCACGAGAGUUUGUAACACCCGAAGCCGGUGGAGUAACCUUUUAGGAGCUAGCCGUCGAAGGUGGGACAAAUGAUUGGGGUGAAGUCGUAACAAGGUAGCCGUAUCGGAAGGUGCGGCUGGAUCACCU
This 1540-nucleotide ribosomal RNA is filed under the name Staphylococcus aureus HI013. RNAcentral describes it as "16S ribosomal RNA". It matches the Rfam family "Bacterial small subunit ribosomal RNA". Lineage: Bacteria; Bacillati; Bacillota; Bacilli; Caryophanales; Staphylococcaceae. The record is from RNAcentral.